This 253-nucleotide ribosomal RNA is filed under the name uncultured bacterium. RNAcentral describes it as "partial 16S ribosomal RNA". It matches the Rfam family "Bacterial small subunit ribosomal RNA", at positions 524 to 776 of the family's 1533-position model. The record is from RNAcentral.
UACGAAGGGGGCUAGCGUUGUUCGGAUUUACUGGGCGUAAAGCGCACGUAGGCGGAUCGUUAAGUCGGGGGUGAAAUCCUGGAGCUCAACUCCAGAACUGCCUUCGAUACUGGCGAUCUUGAGUCCGGAAGAGGUGAGUGGAACUCCUAGUGUAGAGGUGAAAUUCGUAGAUAUUAGGAAGAACACCAGUGGCGAAGGCGGCUCACUGGCCCGGUACUGACGCUGAGGCGCGAAAGCGUGGGGAGCAAACAGG